This 953-nucleotide ribosomal RNA is filed under the name Klebsiella pneumoniae. Its description in RNAcentral is "partial 23S ribosomal RNA". It matches the Rfam family "Bacterial large subunit ribosomal RNA", at positions 243 to 1238 of the family's 2925-position model. The record is from RNAcentral. RNAcentral also lists the same sequence under 1 other name. Lineage: Bacteria; Pseudomonadati; Pseudomonadota; Gammaproteobacteria; Enterobacterales; Enterobacteriaceae.
GUAGCGGCGAGCGAACGGGGAGCAGCCCAGAGUCUGAAUCAGCUUGUGUGUUAGUGGAACGGUCUGGAAAGUCCGACGGUACAGGGUGAUAGUCCCGUACACCAAAAUGCACAGGCUGUGAACUCGAAGAGUAGGGCGGGACACGUGGUAUCCUGUCUGAAUAUGGGGGGACCAUCCUCCAAGGCUAAAUACUCCUGACUGACCGAUAGUGAACCAGUACCGUGAGGGAAAGGCGAAAAGAACCCCGGCGAGGGGAGUGAAAAAGAACCUGAAACCGUGUACGUACAAGCAGUGGGAGCACCUUCGGGUGUGACUGCGUACCUUUUGUAUAAUGGGUCAGCGACUUAUAUUCUGUAGCAAGGUUAACCGUAUAGGGGAGCCGCAGGGAAACCGAGUCUUAACUGGGCGUUAAGUUGCAGGGUAUAGACCCGAAACCCGGUGAUCUAGCCAUGGGCAGGUUGAAGGUUGGGUAACACUAACUGGAGGACCGAACCGACUAAUGUUGAAAAAUUAGCGGAUGACUUGUGGCUGGGGGUGAAAGGCCAAUCAAACCGGGAGAUAGCUGGUUCUCCCCGAAAGCUAUUUAGGUAGCGCCUCGUGAAUUCAUCUUCGGGGGUAGAGCACUGUUUCGGCUAGGGGGUCAUCCCGACUUACCAACCCGAUGCAAACUACGAAUACCGAAGAAUGUUAUCACGGGAGACACACGGCGGGUGCUAACGUCCGUCGUGAAGAGGGAAACAACCCAGACCGCCAGCUAAGGUCCCAAAGUCAUGGUUAAGUGGGAAACGAUGUGGGAAGGCACAGACAGCCAGGAUGUUGGCUUAGAAGCAGCCAUCAUUUAAAGAAAGCGUAAUAGCUCACUGGUCGAGUCGGCCUGCGCGGAAGAUGUAACGGGGCUAAACCAUGCACCGAAGCUGCGGCAGCGACACUAUGUGUUGUUGGGUAGGGGAGCG